GUGCUGAGCUGUGCUCCUUUGCCCAGGGCUCAUGGAGGCAGCCCAGGAAGGAGGCUUGUGUAUAGAAUUGGCUCUGUAAACAAACCUGACCUGACAGGUUUCUGUGUGGUCUCCCCAUCCCUUCAGCGUCCCCUGCCUCUGCUUCUGUGGGAUGGAGUGCCGAGCCCCUCUUCUUUUUGGAUGUACGCAGCUUAAAAGAUCAGAGUCAACAAGUUUUAUCUCAAUGUGCUAGAUACGAUCAGAGUCCUGUUUCGUGAGGCUCCAUACAAGGACAGUAUUAUAUCCAAUCUGCCUCGCAAAGCACCUGCAACUUGACAAACUGGAAGGGAAACAGCUGCAAGAAGUGCCUUGCCAAAAUUCCCCCCACAGCCCGAGUACUGAGCCAGAAGCAUUGACCAGGUAUCUCAGUUCCUGCUGUCACAUGCUCAAGUAGGCUUGCUCCAAGAUGAUGCAUGGAGAGACCAAGAAGUAGGGAGAGAGGAAAUUCUGCAAAUACCUGUGAAAUGGCAUCUCAAUCAGAAACCAGGGAAAACAGAGAGACUGCUUUAUGAAAAAAAAGCUUGCUUGAGUUGCUGUGGCAAUCACAUGGCUGGAUGCUGGAUAGGAACAGUGUUGAAAAUUGCUGGAUACAGGCCACUUAUAUAUUAGAAUAGAGAAAAUAUGGGUGAAAUCAGAGCCUUGCUGAAAUCAGGGAUAAUCUUGCCAUUUGAUGUAUUGUGAAGCACCAGUUGCCAAGCUUGACUUCAAUCAAAUGUCAUUACCACAGUUCAAGAGCAUCCAUCUCAGUUUUGGCAUAGUCAUCACAUUUUGCUGUUUACAGCUUUGUCUGUGAUACAUUAAUAACCACUGGGGCUCUGACUGUAUUUCGCUGGCUGUGAAGCUGAAGUUGAGUCACGCACAGGAGGGCUGCCUGCCUGACAUAGCUCAGCUAACACCCCUAGAAACAUUUCUUGGUGUGCAAGGCUGCCAGGACCUGUGAGGAUAAGGUUUCACCCCUGUGCACAGGAGGCAUGAUUAGUAUGUUCAGUGCUGAAAUGCAUGCUUCCCUAUCUACCAACAAAGGGCGGGCUCUGAAUUCCCAGCUGAGGAAGCAGAAGGUUUACUUUAGGAGGCUCCAUUGAUGCAAAUGUAUUUUAAACCAGCUUUUUAUUCCAAGUGGUGUUUGGUGAUAUAUCAAAAUUGUCUGUUCCGUAGGUCUGCUGGAACCAGCAUUCCACAUCUCUAGAAAUCCACUGCCAACACUCUUU
This 1247-nucleotide long non-coding RNA is filed under the name Numida meleagris (helmeted guineafowl). RNAcentral describes it as "lncRNA (ENSNMEG00000000852.1)". Lineage: Eukaryota; Metazoa; Chordata; Aves; Galliformes; Numididae. The record is from RNAcentral.